ACAGGCCCAAUAAAUAGGUCUAGUAUUCACCUCAGCUAGAAAGAAAGUCUUUUAUUUACAAAACCAAAUGCGCUGUUCACGUAACAACGUCCUAAGUUUUUAAGUUCCAGUCUAUAUUUCCAAGCACAACCGGCCCCUAUAGAGGCCAAAACUUAUCAAUUUAGGAUAUUACUAUGUCUACAGUUACAGGUACUGUUAAAUGGUUCAACGAAGCUAAAGGCUUCGGUUUCAUCGCUCAAGAAAACGGCCCAGACGUUUUCGCUCACUUCAGCGAAAUCCAAGGCGAGGGUUUCAAAACCCUAGCUGAAGGCCAAGCAGUUGAGUUCAUCGUAACUCAAGGCCAAAAAGGUCCUCAAGCUGAGAAAAUCGUUGCGAUCUAAUCGCUGAUUUUUUCUGUUUGAAAGAAAAGGCAAGCCUCGGCUUGCCUUUUUUG
Molecule: small RNA, 433 nt
Filed under: Bermanella marisrubri
Lineage: Bacteria; Pseudomonadati; Pseudomonadota; Gammaproteobacteria; Oceanospirillales; Oceanospirillaceae
Description: cspA thermoregulator
Rfam family: cspA thermoregulator
Source: Rfam by way of RNAcentral